Non-coding RNA from Gossypium arboreum, 124 nucleotides. Lineage: Eukaryota; Viridiplantae; Streptophyta; Magnoliopsida; Malvales; Malvaceae. The record is from Rfam.
AGGGGUAGCCUUUAUAUAAAUAGAACUAACGCACCAGAUCCCAUCAGAACUCCGCAGAGAAGCGUGCGUGGGCAAGAGUAGUACUAGGAUGGUGACCUCCUAGGAAGUCCUCGUGUUGCACCUC